GCGGUAUUGGUGUAAUCUGGUUAGCAUAGGAGACUGUGGAUCUUCUGGUCCGGGUUCAAAUCCCGGGUACCGCC
Molecule: transfer RNA, 74 nt
Filed under: Candidatus Woesearchaeota archaeon
Lineage: Archaea; Nanobdellati; Candidatus Woesearchaeota
Description: tRNA-His
Rfam family: tRNA
About the family: Transfer RNA (tRNA) molecules are approximately 80 nucleotides in length. Their secondary structure includes four short double-helical elements and three loops (D, anti-codon, and T loops). Further hydrogen bonds mediate the characteristic L-shaped molecular structure. tRNAs have two regions of fundamental functional importance: the anti-codon, which is responsible for specific mRNA codon recognition, and the 3' end, to which the tRNAs corresponding amino acid is attached (by aminoacyl-tRNA synthetases). tRNAs cope with the degeneracy of the genetic code in two manners: having more than one tRNA (with a specific anti-codon) for a particular amino acid; and 'wobble' base-pairing, i.e. permitting non-standard base-pairing at the 3rd anti-codon position.
Source: RNAcentral